UACGUAGGAUGCAAGCGUUGUCCGGAAUUACUGGGCGUAAAGGGCGCGUAGGCGGCCACUCAAGUCAGAUGUGAAAUAGCCCGGCUUAACCGGGAGGGGUCAUUUGAAACUGAGUAGCUAGAGUGCAGGAGAGGCUAGCGGAAUUCCCGGUGUAGUGGUGAAAUGCGUAGAUAUCGGGAGGAACACCAGUGGCGAAGGCGGCUAGCUGGCCUGUAACUGACGCUGAGGCGCGAAGGCUAGGGGAGCGAACAGG
RNAcentral lists this ribosomal RNA (253 nucleotides) under uncultured bacterium. Its description in RNAcentral is "partial 16S ribosomal RNA". It matches the Rfam family "Bacterial small subunit ribosomal RNA", at positions 524 to 776 of the family's 1533-position model. The record is from RNAcentral.